Molecule: ribosomal RNA, 429 nt
Filed under: Pseudomonadota bacterium
Lineage: Bacteria; Pseudomonadati; Pseudomonadota
Description: Proteobacteria bacterium partial 16S ribosomal RNA
Rfam family: Bacterial small subunit ribosomal RNA
Source: RNAcentral
UGGGGAAUAUUGGACAAUGGGCGAAAGCCUGAUCCAGCCAUGCCGCGUGUGUGAAGAAGGUCUUCGGAUUGUAAAGCACUUUAAGUUGGGAGGAAGGGCAGUAAGCGAAUACCUUGCUGUUUUUACGUUACCGACAGAAUAAGCACCGGCUAACUCUGUGCCAGCAGCCGCGGUAAUACAGAGGGUGCAAGCGUUAAUCGGAAUUACUGGGCGUAAAGCGCGCGUAGGUGGUUCGUUAAGUUGAAUGUGAAAGCCCCGGGCUCAACCUGGGAACUGCAACCAAAACUGGCGAGCUAGAGUAGGGCAGAGGGUGGUGGAAUUUCCUGUGUAGCGGUGAAAUGCGUAGAUAUAGGAAGGAACACCAGUGGCGAAGGCGACCACCUGGGCUCAUACUGACACUGAGGUGCGAAAGCGUGGGGAGCAAACAGG